AUGGCCACCGCCGUAGCAUUUGCCCACCUUCUCCUUUUCCUCGUCUUGGUGUCCCCUGUGGCCUGCUACUCGUACCGCUGCGACUGGUGCCCUCGGCGGGCCACCGCCUCCCUCAUGCCUCCCGACGCCGCCCUCACCGGCGCCGCGUGCGGGUACGGUGGCCCGGAGGCGGCGGUGACUGAGCUCGCCGCCGGAGGAUUCCACAUUGCGGCCGUUAGUGCUGGAUUCUUCCGCCGCGGCUGGGCCUGCGGCGCCUGCUACCAGCUGAGGUGCACGGCCAGGAGUGCGUGCGCGAUGGACGGUGUGAAUGUCAUCGUCGUCGCCUCCACGGAGAUGGCGACGAACGGGACAGGCACCAAAGGCCAGUUCCUGCUCGGCAAGGACGCCUUCGCCGCCUUGACUACUGCUGUAGCUGGUGACGACGGUCAGCUGGCGAGCUUGGUGGAUGCGGCCGUCGACGUCGACUUCAGGAGGGUACCGUGCGCUUACAAAGGAAAGAACCUGGCGGUGAGGGUGGAGGAGAAGAGCAGCAGGGACAAGGGCCACCUCGCCGUCAGGUUCCUCUACCAGGGCGGCCAGACCGACAUCGUUGCCGUCGAGGUGGCGGCGCAGGUGGAAAUUCCUCGUGCCACGAUAUAG
Molecule: ribosomal RNA, 639 nt
Filed under: Triticum aestivum (bread wheat)
Lineage: Eukaryota; Viridiplantae; Streptophyta; Magnoliopsida; Poales; Poaceae
Description: partial small subunit ribosomal RNA
Source: RNAcentral